UACGUAGGGGGCAAGCGUUGUCCGGAUUUAUUGGGCGUAAAGAGCGUGUAGGCGGCUUUACAGGUCCGUUGUGAAAACUCGAGGCUCAACCUCGAGACGCCGGUGGAAACCGUAAAGCUAGAGUCCGGAAGAGGAGAGUGGAAUUCCUGGUGUGGCGGUGAAAUGCGCAGAUAUCAGGAAGAACACCCGUGGCGAAGGCGGCUCUCUGGGACGGUACUGACGCUGAGACGCGAAAGCGUGGGGAGCGAACAGG
Molecule: ribosomal RNA, 253 nt
Filed under: uncultured bacterium
Lineage: Bacteria
Description: partial 16S ribosomal RNA
Rfam family: Bacterial small subunit ribosomal RNA
Source: RNAcentral